Molecule: non-coding RNA, 27 nt
Filed under: Mus musculus (house mouse)
Lineage: Eukaryota; Metazoa; Chordata; Mammalia; Rodentia; Muridae
Source: RNAcentral
ACAAGAUUUAGUUAAGGAGGCACAGAA